Molecule: transfer RNA, 72 nt
Organism: Gaeumannomyces graminis
Lineage: Eukaryota; Fungi; Ascomycota; Sordariomycetes; Magnaporthales; Magnaporthaceae
Rfam family: tRNA
About the family: Transfer RNA (tRNA) molecules are approximately 80 nucleotides in length. Their secondary structure includes four short double-helical elements and three loops (D, anti-codon, and T loops).
Source: Rfam
GGUUGUAUAGCGCAAUAAUAACGCGCUCGUUUUUGUAACGGGAAAACCUGGGUUCGAUUCCCGGUGCAACCU